UUGCCGGCGGUGAUUAAUGUAUGUCUCUCUGUUUAACCACCCUUUGCUGCUUAGUUCACGACGCAUGUGUAUAUUCUUCCUCGCACUAUCUGGUUACUCCGGCAGCAGAACAUGAACAUCCAUCACCAUGGUUCUCGGCUAGGUUCUGCUCUAUAUUUGCUUUUUCAUGUACCACUCGUUCUUCGACCCAAAGAUUACAUUUGUGCUAAUAUCCUCCUAAUUCCAGUUCUGUACAGGCGGUAUUCAUACUGUUGUGGUCAAUUGAUUCGGCCAGAUCUUUGGAGAUUGGUUAUCAAAUUAUUUUUACUCUCUGGACAGGUAAUUACUUCACUUCAGCUGACAGACCUUAUCCUUCCAUGUUUUUACGGCGUACGCUUGCUUCCGUGUGAUUCAUAGUUUCAUACCAUGGUGCUAUUUACUACUGGAUGCGACAGGUGGCUUAGAACAACAUAGUGAAAUCACAAGAAAAAUGCAGCCAUGCUGCUCUAGAGGGGAGCGAAGCCUCAACGUUUUCCUGCUUCUAUCCAUAAAUGAGAAAAACCCGAAAAAUCCACGGAUACUUUGUUUCCUAAAUACACAGUGUGAAAAUUUAAAGGAAGAUCGUUUGGCCUGUAUUAGAUGCAGAAAACAGGAAAUAUUAAUGUCGCUGUUCUGAUUGCUUGCAGCGAUUGAUGUUCCAAAUUGGCAUUCUUCAUCUGAACUGAGGUAUAAGGCGAGCCUCCAAAACAAGGGAACAGUACGUUGCCGAGUAACAUGUGUGUUCAACAUCAUUUCCCCAUUAUUCAUGUUGAGGUAAUCCAGUGACUUUAACUAUGAUGACCUUCUGUUGGUAUUCUCCUGUAGGUAUCAAAGAAGUGGAAUGGUUAGCUUCUCUACUUCUUCAAGAAUUUCUGAAAGGAUAUAAUAAACAGGUGCCAUGUUAUAAACUUCUGUUAUUGAUAUCCUUGCAAUCGUUCGCAGUGUGUUAGCCACCUUAUUCUACCAAUAUAUGUUCCAGAAUUAAUUGGACCAGUUUGUGUUUAGAAGAGUGUUCCUUUCCUAUCUGAUUGACUCCAUGAAUAUUUUUAAUGAAUAAGAUAUAAACAGCAAUGUACAUUUAUCUCUGAUGUAUAUUGCCAUCCAAAUAAAGGGCUGUUAAUUUUCAAUGUUGUUUAUAC
RNAcentral lists this long non-coding RNA (1157 nucleotides) under Triticum aestivum (bread wheat). Its description in RNAcentral is "long non-coding RNA (TAES_LNC022793)". Lineage: Eukaryota; Viridiplantae; Streptophyta; Magnoliopsida; Poales; Poaceae. The record is from RNAcentral.